GAUCGCAUAGUGUAGUUGGUUAUCACGUCAGUCUAACAAUUGUUGUGCACUGAAGGUGGGUGUUGGAACGUACAAUCUCCGUACAGUUGUUAACAAACCGAUAGGUCCCAGGAUCGAGCCCUGGUGCGAUCA
Cenococcum geophilum 1.58 is the source of this 132-nucleotide non-coding RNA. The record is from the annotation of a GenBank genome assembly. NCBI's taxonomy places the organism in Eukaryota, Fungi, Ascomycota, Dothideomycetes, Gloniales, Gloniaceae.